RNAcentral lists this ribosomal RNA (119 nucleotides) under Schistocephalus solidus. Lineage: Eukaryota; Metazoa; Platyhelminthes; Cestoda; Diphyllobothriidea; Diphyllobothriidae. The record is from RNAcentral.
GUCAGCGACCAUACCAAGUAGAAAGUACCGGUUAUCGUCCGAUCACCGAAGUUAAGCUACGUUAGACCCGGUUAGUACUUGCAUUGGUGACCGACUGGUAAUACCGUGUCUUGCUGUCA